RNAcentral lists this ribosomal RNA (1292 nucleotides) under Triscelophorus sp. JG-2019a. Its description in RNAcentral is "partial large subunit ribosomal RNA". The record is from RNAcentral. Lineage: Eukaryota; Fungi; Ascomycota; Dothideomycetes.
CCUUAGUAACGGCGAGUGAAGCGGCAUCAGCUCAAAUUUGAAAUCUGGCGCAAGCCCGAGUUGUAAUUUGUAGAGGAUGAUUCGGCAAAGUCUAGGUUCAAGUCUUCUGGAAGGAAGCGCCAUUGAGGGUGAGAGCCCCGUAGAGCUGUUGACUGCGCCAUGUGAAUCUCCUUCGAAGAGUCGAGUUGUUUGGGAAUGCAGCUCAAAACGGGUGGUAAAUUCCAUCUAAAGCUAAAUAUUGSCCAGAGACCGAUAGCGCMCAAGUAGAGUGAUCGAAAGAUGAAAASCACUUUGGAAAGAGAGUGAAACAGUACGUGAAAUUGUUGAAAGGGAAGCGCUUGCGACCAGACUUGAUUUUUCAGUUCACCGGUUCAUUUGGACUGGGUACUUCUGAUUGAUCAGGCCAGCAUCAGUUCGAGCGGUUGGAAAAAAGCAUUGGGAACGUGGCUCCUCGGAGUGUUAUAGCCCUUUGCAGAAUACAACCAGUUUGGACUGAGGUCAGCCAUUGUAGGAUGCUGGCGUAAUGGUUGCUAGCGGCCCGUCUUGAAACACGGACCAAGGAGUCUAACAUCCAUGCGAGUGUUUGGAUUUGAAAUCCGCACGCGUAAUGAAAGUGAACGGAGGUGAGAGCUACGGCGCAUCAUCGACCGAUCCUGAUGUACUCGGAAGGAUUUGAGUAUGAGCAUGGCUGUUGGGACCCGAAAGAUGGUGAACUAUGCGUGAAUAGGGCGAAGCCAGAGGAAACUCUGGUGGAGGCUCGCAGCGGUUCUGACGUGCAAAUCGAUCGUCAAAUUUGCGUAUAGGGGCGAAAGACUUAUCGAACCAUCUAGUAGCUGGUUCCUGCCGAAGUUUCCCUCAGGAUAGCAGUAACGAAUUCAGUUUUAUGAGGUAAAGCGAAUGAUUAGAGGCAUGGGGGAAGAAACUUCCUUCACCUAUUCUCAAACUUUAAAUAUGUAAGAAGUCCUUGUCACUUAAUUGGACGUGGACAUUUGAAUGUGCGUUACUAGUGGGCCAUUUUUGGUAAGCAGAACUGGCGAUGCGGGAUGCUCCGAACGCGUGGUUAAGGUGCCGGAAUAUACGCUCAUCAGACACCACAAAAAGUGUUAGUGCAUCCAGACAGCAGGACGGUGGCCAUGGAAGUCGGAAUCCGCUAAGGAGUGUGUAACAACUCACCUGCCGAAUGCACUAGCCUUGAAAAUGGAUGGCGCUUAAGCGUAUUACCCAUACCGCGCCGUUCGACUUGAAGUUAUAGUCGAACGUGUAGGCAGGCGCGGAGGUUUGUGACGAAGCCU